This 452-nucleotide ribosomal RNA is filed under the name uncultured Thiobacillus sp. RNAcentral describes it as "bacterial SSU rRNA". It matches the Rfam family "Bacterial small subunit ribosomal RNA", at positions 925 to 1382 of the family's 1533-position model. The record is from RNAcentral. Lineage: Bacteria; Pseudomonadati; Pseudomonadota; Betaproteobacteria; Nitrosomonadales; Thiobacillaceae.
ACAAGCGGUGGAUUAUGUGGAUUAAUUCGAUGCAACGCGAAAACCUUACCUACCCUUGACAUGCUAGGAACUUGCCAGAGAUGGCUUGGUGCCCGAAAGGGAAUCGGAACACAGGUGCUGCAUGGCUGUCGUCAGCUCGUGUCGUGAGAUGUUGGGUUAAGUCCCGCAACGAGCGCAACCCUUAUCAUUAGUUGCUACGCAAGGGCACUCUAAUGAGACUGCCGGUGACAAACCGGAGGAAGGUGGGGAUGACGUCAAGUCCUCAUGGCCCUUAUGGGUAGGGCUUCACACGUCAUACAAUGGUCGGUACAGAGGGUUGCCAAGCCGCGAGGCGGAGCCAAUCCCACAAAGCCGAUCGUAGUCCGGAUUGUUCUCUGCAACUCGAGAGCAUGAAGUCGGAAUCGCUAGUAAUCGCAGGUCAGCAUACUGCGGUGAAUACGUUCCCGGGUCUU